This 409-nucleotide ribosomal RNA is filed under the name uncultured bacterium. RNAcentral's name for it is "bacterial SSU rRNA". It matches the Rfam family "Bacterial small subunit ribosomal RNA", at positions 509 to 916 of the family's 1533-position model. The record is from RNAcentral.
CAGCCGCCGCGGUAAUUCGGAGGGUGCAAGCGUUAUUCGGAUUUACUGGGCGUAAAGGGCGCGUAGGCGGCUUGAUAAGUCAGUCGUGAAAGCCCGGGGCUCAACCCCGGAAGUGCGAUUGAAACUAUCAGGCUUGAGUAUGGUAGAGGGAAGUGGAAUUCCAGGUGUAGCGGUGAAAUGCGUAGAUAUCUGGAGGAACACCGGUGGCGAAGGCGACUUCCUGGACCAAUACUGACGCUGAUGCGCGAAGGUGUGGGUAGCAAACAGGAUUAGAUACCCUGGUAGUCCACACAGUAAACGGUGAUCACUAGGUGUUGCGGGUAUUGACCCCUGCAGUGCCGGAGCUAACGCAUUAAGUGAUCCGCCUGGGGAGUACGGUCGCAAGAUUAAAACUCAAAGGAAUUGACGG